Labrus bergylta (ballan wrasse) is the source of this 138-nucleotide small nucleolar RNA. Ensembl annotates it as small nucleolar RNA SNORA8. The record is from Ensembl. NCBI's taxonomy places the organism in Eukaryota, Metazoa, Chordata, Actinopteri, Labriformes, Labridae.
AGCACUGUGUGGUAUCUGCAGCCAGCUGUGUCGUCAGCUGGUUUGUUCAAAAGCCAGUGCGAGACAAACUCAACGUCUGGCAUCGUUGGUCUCUGAGCUGAUCGUGUUCGGAGUCCUGGUAUUUUUGUUGAAACACUC